Molecule: long non-coding RNA, 414 nt
Filed under: Nicotiana benthamiana
Lineage: Eukaryota; Viridiplantae; Streptophyta; Magnoliopsida; Solanales; Solanaceae
Description: long non-coding RNA (NBEN_LNC022377)
Source: RNAcentral
AUUCUAUAAGGUUGAAUAAAAAUUCGAUUGACCAUUUGAUAUAAUUGCUAUGCUUAGUGUGUGACUCGUUGGUUUUUUAGGGUUAGGAUUAAAAAAGAUCAGCCCACAUAGUAUGAACUAAAAACUAUAGAACUAAUAACCAACCCAUCACUUAGCAUUAUCUGGAUCUAAAGAACCAGUCAAGAUAUGAUAUAUAGGUCAUUCUUUGUAGCAACUGAAAUCUUUUGCAUAAACAAAAAAGGAAAUCUGAUUCUAAGUUGUAAAGCAAAAUAGACAAAAAAGAUGUGGAAUAGAAAUCAAUCCUCACGAGCUUGAAGAACAAAGUUGAAUGUUACUACGGACCAGUUCCUAAAGUCAGUAUUUUAUUGUCCUUAGUUGAGUUGUAACUUUGUGAUUGUACUUAUUGUAUCUCCU